RNAcentral lists this ribosomal RNA (1656 nucleotides) under Triticum aestivum (bread wheat). Its description in RNAcentral is "partial small subunit ribosomal RNA". The record is from RNAcentral. Lineage: Eukaryota; Viridiplantae; Streptophyta; Magnoliopsida; Poales; Poaceae.
AUGGCCAGGGCAAGGCCGCCGAUCCAAGCUACGGCGAUCCUCCUGGCGACGUGGUGCCUCGUCUUCCUCCGUAGCUCGUCAGCCCCAGCCGUGCCUGCACUCCGGCCACCGCCACCACCAUCAGCGCCGGGAGCGGGAGGCGCCCUCUGCAUCCCCCGCGAGCGAGAUGCGCUUCUCGCCUUCAAGGCCGGCCUCACCGAUCCGACCAACUACCUUUCGUCGUGGCGGGCCGAGGAGGACUGCUGCGGGUGGAUGGGCGUCGGGUGCAGCAACCAGACCGGCCACGUCAUCAAGCUCCAGGUCAACAGCUACAACCAUGGUACGCUUGUGGAGGGAAACAUAGGAGGUGAGAUAAACCCCUCUUUGCUCAAUCUCCGACAUCUGAAGCACCUAGACCUCUCAUCCAACUACUUCGGUGGGAGAUCCAUUCCUGAAUUCAUCGGUGGCCUCCGGAGCCUGACUCAUCUCGACCUCAGUGAUUCGUUCUUCGGUGGGCGAAUCCCUCCCCACCUUGGGAACCUUUCAAAUCUAGUCAGUCUGGACCUCUCGAGUCAACUACCGGGUUGUUACUCACCUGAUCUUUCAUGGAUGUCGCGAUUGCGGAAGCUACAGUACCUCAUCAUGUCCGCGGUGAACCUUAGUGCUUCCAUCGACUGGACCCAUACUGUCAACAUGCUUCCCUCUCUGGUAAUCCUUGACCUAGCAUUUUGUGGGCUUCGGAACAUUAUGCCUCCACCGUUGCACUCCAACCUUACAUCACUAGAGGUCUUCUGUCUCGAGUCCAACCCCUUUAACUCAUCCUUGGGAGCCCACCACUUGGUUUGGGAUCUACCGAUGCUUCGACAUUUAAGUAUGUAUGACUGCAGAAUCCAAGGUCCUAUACCUGCUGCAGUUGGAAACAUGACCUCCAUUCAACACAUGAUUCUGAUGGGAAACAACUUCAUGGGCAUGGUGCCAUCAACAUUCAAGAAACUCAAAAGACUAAAAGUGCUCAUGCUAUCAAAAACCUCCAUUAGCGGAAGCACAGAAGAUCUAUUUCAUAGACUGCCAGCAUAUGGGUUACAGGAGUUGUACUUGGAUUACAACAAUCUGACUGGGGGCCUUCCAAAUCGACUAGAGGAUUUUAGUAGCUUGACCACACUUUGGCUCAAUAAUAACGAUCUAUCCGGAGAGAUACAAGUUGGUAUACGGAAACUUACAAAACUGAAGGAGUUACUGGUGAACUCAAACAACCUGCUUGGUACACUUACCGAACACCAUUUCACAAAUCUGAGUAGCCUACAGGUCUUGUGGAUCUCUGAUAAUUCCUUAACUAUACUGGUCAACAACACAUGGAACGCUCCAUUCAAAUUAACUUCACGAGGCUUUAGAUCUUGCAUCCUAGUGCCCCAAUUUCCAAUAUGGGUUGUCAGGUCAAGAAUCAACACUCUUCACUACAGGAAUCAGCUUCUUUGCCAUCAGCCAUGGCGGACGGCAAAGACACGGACGGCGGACGGCAAAGAGCUUUGCCGUCAGCCGCGGACGGCAAACAGCUCCGGCAAAGACAGCGUCGGCAAACACCUUAUUUGUCGUCUGCUUUUUGUAGCGGACGGCAAAGAGGCCUUUGUCGUAAGUGGCGGACGGCAAAGAAGGUGUACGGCAAAUAGUAGGUGUUAG